This is a long non-coding RNA of Mauremys reevesii (Reeves's turtle), 569 nucleotides long. RefSeq lists it as uncharacterized. The transcript is spliced from 3 exons. The record is from RefSeq and is a predicted model, not a curated record. Lineage: Eukaryota; Metazoa; Chordata; Testudines; Geoemydidae.
AGGGGGCAGAGAUGGGUCCUGAAACCUACAUCUCUCCUCUCCCUCCCCCACAGGGCAGGCCUCCUGCAUAGGCAUGAGGAGCCACUGCUGAGUUCCAGGCCCACCUCGUACUCUGCCUCCAAUGCUGGACCAGGUUGUGGCGGCUCCAGCUUAGGACGUGGCUUUGAGGAGAACCAGUUAAAGACUGCAGCUUGCUCUACUGAACUGGACAUCAGACCUAGCUGCUAGAUCAAUAGAGACAGCAAUACUAAGUAAAGAGGAAGAAAAAUGGAUGGCAGGACUUGUGCAGCACUGAAAGCAGCCUGAUACAAUACCUGAGUGCAUUUGUGCAACCACAGUAUUUUCAAACAACUGCAGUGCUGAAUCCCUAAAGUACCUGACAGAUGUCUAUGUAUGAACCAACUGUACAAGCAGCAAGUAUUCUCUAAUGUGAAACCACUUUAACUUAACAUGAGACCAAAAUACCCAGUUCAGUGAAUUUGAUAUUCACUUAGCUAACAAGCUUGAACUGCCUUAUUGAAAUCCAUAUCAAAUGCUUACUAAAAAUGAAGCUACCACCAUCAUAGUGA